This 634-nucleotide ribosomal RNA is filed under the name Bacillus amyloliquefaciens. Its description in RNAcentral is "bacterial SSU rRNA". It matches the Rfam family "Bacterial small subunit ribosomal RNA", at positions 182 to 802 of the family's 1533-position model. Lineage: Bacteria; Bacillati; Bacillota; Bacilli; Caryophanales; Bacillaceae. The record is from RNAcentral.
UGAACCGCAUGGUUCAGACAUAAAAGGUGGCUUCGGCUACCACUUACAGAUGGACCCGCGGCGCAUAGCUAGUUGGUGAGGUAACGGCUCACCAAGGCGACGAUGCGUAGCCGACCUGAGAGGGUGAUCGGCCACACUGGGACUGAGACACGGCCCAGACUCCUACGGGAGGCAGCAGUAGGGAAUCUUCCGCAAUGGACGAAAGUCUGACGGAGCAACGCCGCGUGAGUGAUGAAGGUUUUCGGAUCGUAAAGCUCUGUUGUUAGGGAAGAACAAGUGCCGUUCAAAUAGGGCGGCACCUUGACGGUACCUAACCAGAAAGCCACGGCUAACUACGUGCCAGCAGCCGCGGUAAUACGUAGGUGGCAAGCGUUGUCCGGAAUUAUUGGGCGUAAAGGGCUCGCAGGCGGUUUCUUAAGUCUGAUGUGAAAGCCCCCGGCUCAACCGGGGAGGGUCAUUGGAAACUGGGGAACUUGAGUGCAGAAGAGGAGAGUGGAAUUCCACGUGUAGCGGUGAAAUGCGUAGAGAUGUGGAGGAACACCAGUGGCGAAGGCGACUCUCUGGUCUGUAACUGACGCUGAGGAGCGAAAGCGUGGGGAGCGAACAGGAUUAGAUACCCUGGUAGUCCACGCCG